GACGAACGCUGGCGGCGUGCCUAAUACAUGCAAGUAGAACGCUGAGGAGAGGAGCUUGCUCUUCUUGGAUGAGUUGCGAACGGGUGAGUAACGCGUAGGUAACCUGCCUUGUAGCGGGGGAUAACUAUUGGAAACGAUAGCUAAUACCGCAUAACAAUAGGUGACACAUGUCAUUUAUUUGAAAGGGGCAAUUGCUCCACUACAAGAUGGACCUGCGUUGUAUUAGCUAGUAGGUGAGGUAACGGCUCACCUAGGCGACGAUACAUAGCCGACCUGAGAGGGUGAUCGGCCACACUGGGACUGAGACACGGCCCAGACUCCUACGGGAGGCAGCAGUAGGGAAUCUUCGGCAAUGGGGGCAACCCUGACCGAGCAACGCCGCGUGAGUGAAGAAGGUUUUCGGAUCGUAAAGCUCUGUUGUAAGUCAAGAACGAGUGUGAGAGUGGAAAGUUCACACUGUGACGGUAGCUUACCAGAAAGGGACGGCUAACUACGUG
Molecule: ribosomal RNA, 497 nt
Filed under: uncultured bacterium
Lineage: Bacteria
Description: partial 16S ribosomal RNA
Rfam family: Bacterial small subunit ribosomal RNA
Source: RNAcentral